This 468-nucleotide ribosomal RNA is filed under the name uncultured bacterium. Its description in RNAcentral is "partial 16S ribosomal RNA". It matches the Rfam family "Bacterial small subunit ribosomal RNA", at positions 28 to 507 of the family's 1533-position model. The record is from RNAcentral.
GAUGAACGCUGGCGGCGUGCUUAACACAUGCAAGUCGAACGGAAAGGCCCAAGCUUGCUUGGGUACUCGAGUGGCGAACGGGUGGGUAACACGUGGGUGAUCUGCCCUGCACUUCGGGAUAAGCCUGGGAAACUGGGUCUAAUACCGGAUAGGACGAUGGUUUGGAUGCCAUUGUGGACAGUUUUUUCGGUGUGGGAUGAGCUCGCGGCCUAUCAGCUUGUUGGUGGGGUAAUGGCCUACCAAGGCGUCGACGGGUAGCCGGCCUGAGAGGGUGUACGGCCACAUUGGAACUGGGAUACGGCCCAGACUCCUACGGGAGGCAGCAGUGGGGAAUAUUGCACAAUGGGCGCAAGCCUGAUGCAGCGACGCCGCGUGGGGGAUGACGGCCUUCGGGUUGUAAACUCCUUUCGCUAGGGACGAAGCGUUUUUGUGACGGUACCUGGAGAAGAAGCACCGGCUAACUACGUG